This 301-nucleotide ribosomal RNA is filed under the name uncultured bacterium. RNAcentral's name for it is "partial 16S ribosomal RNA". It matches the Rfam family "Bacterial small subunit ribosomal RNA", at positions 509 to 807 of the family's 1533-position model. The record is from RNAcentral.
CAGUAGCCGCGGGAAUACGAAGGGGGCUAGCGUUGUUCGGAAUUACUGGGCGUAAAGCGCACGUAGGCGGAUAUUUAAGUCAGGGGUGAAAUCCCGCAGCUCAACUGCGGAACUGCCUUUGAUACUGGGUAUCUUGAGUAUGGAAGAGGUAAGUGGAAUUGCGAGUGUAGAGGUGAAAUUCGUAGAUAUUCGCAGGAACACCAGUGGCGAAGGCGGCUUACUGGCUCAUUCUAGACGCUGAGGUGCGAAAGCGUGGGGAGCAAACAGGAUUAGAUACCCCCGUAGUCCCUGUCUCUUAUAC